Bradysia coprophila is the source of this 132-nucleotide long non-coding RNA. The record is from RefSeq and is a predicted model, not a curated record. NCBI's taxonomy places the organism in Eukaryota, Metazoa, Arthropoda, Insecta, Diptera, Sciaridae.
UUGGCAGACCCAGUACGAGCACUAAGCUGCUGCUGCUGGUGCUGCAGUAGUAGUGGUUGUUGUAGUAGUAGUAGUUGUAGUGGUUGUGGUUGUGGUGGUGGUAGUAGUAGUAGUCGUUGUUGUUGUUGUUAA